GCGCCCAUAGUUCAGUGGAUAGAAUGUUUGACUUCGGAUCAAAAGGUCGUGGGUUCAAAUCCUUCUGGGCGCACC
This 75-nucleotide transfer RNA is filed under the name Picea glauca (white spruce). RNAcentral describes it as "tRNA-Arg". It matches the Rfam family "tRNA". From Rfam's summary of the family: Transfer RNA (tRNA) molecules are approximately 80 nucleotides in length. Their secondary structure includes four short double-helical elements and three loops (D, anti-codon, and T loops). The record is from RNAcentral. Lineage: Eukaryota; Viridiplantae; Streptophyta; Pinopsida; Pinales; Pinaceae.